AUCUUUAUCUGGCACUUAAGCAUAAACAUUAGCUGUCUGCACCAUGGUGUGAGAUGUUCCUCCCUCACGUCUUUAUACAACAUUCACACAUUACCAGUCUGAUA
Molecule: small nucleolar RNA, 104 nt
Organism: Jaculus jaculus (lesser Egyptian jerboa)
Lineage: Eukaryota; Metazoa; Chordata; Mammalia; Rodentia; Dipodidae
Product: small nucleolar RNA U13
Exons: 1
Source: RefSeq, a predicted model, not a curated record